UGGAGAGUUUGAUCCUGGCUCAGGACGAACGCUGGCGGCGUGCCUAAUACAUGCAAGUCGAGCGCGGGAAGCGAGUGGAUCCCUUCGGGGUGAAGCUCGUGGAACGAGCGGCGGACGGGUGAGUAACACGUGGGCAACCUACCUGUAAGAUCGGAAUAACCCCGGGAAACCGGGGCUAAUGCCGGGUAAUACUUUUCUUCGCAUGAAGGAAAGUUGAAAGAUGGCUUCUUGCUAUCACUUACAGAUGGGCCCGCGGCGCAUUAGCUAGUUGGUGAGGUAACGGCUCACCAAGGCGACGAUGCGUAGCCGACCUGAGAGGGUGAUCGGCCACACUGGGACUGAGACACGGCCCAGACUCCUACGGGAGGCAGCAGUAGGGAAUCUUCCGCAAUGGACGAAAGUCUGACGGAGCAACGCCGCGUGAACGAUGAAGGUCUUCGGAUCGUAAAGUUCUGUUGUUAGGGAAGAACAAGUACCGUGCGAAUAGAGCGGUACCUUGACGGUACCUAACGAGGAAGCCCCGGCUAACUACGUGCCAGCAGCCGCGGUA
This 550-nucleotide ribosomal RNA is filed under the name Halobacillus trueperi. RNAcentral's name for it is "bacterial SSU rRNA". It matches the Rfam family "Bacterial small subunit ribosomal RNA", at positions 1 to 522 of the family's 1533-position model. Lineage: Bacteria; Bacillati; Bacillota; Bacilli; Caryophanales; Bacillaceae. The record is from RNAcentral.